GACGAACGCUGGCGGCGUGCUUAACACAUGCAAGUCGAACGGAAAGGCCCUGCUUUUGUGGGGUGCUCGAGUGGCGAACGGGUGAGUAACACGUGAGUAACCUGCCCUUGACUUUGGGAUAACUUCAGGAAACUGGGGCUAAUACCGGAUAGGAGCUCCUGCUGCAUGGUGGGGGUUGGAAAGUUUCGGCGGUUGGGGAUGGACUCGCGGCUUAUCAGCUUGUUGGUGGGGUAGUGGCUUACCAAGGCUUUGACGGGUAGCCGGCCUGAGAGGGUGACCGGCCACAUUGGGACUGAGGUACGGACCAGACUCCAACGGGAGGCAGCAGUGGGGAAUAUUGCACAGUGGGCGGGAGCCUGAUGCAGCAACGCCGCGUGCGGGAUGACGGCCUUCGGGUUGUAAACCGCUUUCGCCUGUGACGAAGCGUGAGUGACGGUAAUGGGUAAAGAAGCACCGGCUAACUACGUG
This 468-nucleotide ribosomal RNA is filed under the name uncultured bacterium. Its description in RNAcentral is "partial 16S ribosomal RNA". It matches the Rfam family "Bacterial small subunit ribosomal RNA", at positions 28 to 507 of the family's 1533-position model. The record is from RNAcentral.